Molecule: ribosomal RNA, 393 nt
Filed under: uncultured bacterium
Lineage: Bacteria
Description: partial 16S ribosomal RNA
Rfam family: Bacterial small subunit ribosomal RNA
Source: RNAcentral
AUACGGAGGAUGCGAGCGUUAUCCGGAUUUAUUGGGUUUAAAGGGAGCGUAGGUGGGAUAUUAAGUCAGCUGUGAAAGUUUGGGGCUCAACCUUAAAAUUGCAGUUGAUACUGGUUUCCUUGAGUACGGUAUAGGUGGGCGGAAUUCGUGGUGUAGCGGUGAAAUGCUUAGAUAUCACGAAGAACUCCGAUCGCGAAGGCAGCUCACCGGGCCGGAACUGACACUGAUGCUCGAAAGUGCGGGUAUCAAACAGGAUUAGAUACCCUGGUAGUCCGCACAGUAAACGAUGAACACUCGCUGUUUGCGAUACACUGUAAGCGGCCAAGCGAAAGCGUUAAGUAUUCCACCUGGGGAGUACGCCGGCAACGGUGAAACUCAAAUGAAUUGGCGGGG